UCCGCCGCCCGCCGCCCCCGGCGCCGCGCGCCCACCCCCCUCAGAAUCCGCCCGGGCACCGCAGUGCAUUGCAACACGCGCAGACGCCGCUGGCGGGACGGGACCCAUCGCCGCCUUCCCGAGCAUCUUUGCAGAGGAGGUGGAUGAGAAGGCAAAUAGUAUUGUCACCUCAGAUACAGAAGCAUGAAGCAUAAAUCAGAUAACGUGACUUAUCCAAGUACAUGUGUUUUCCCCAAGAAAAUCCUUGUGUAUCUAAUUCUAUAUCGACAUUUGCUUCUUAGAGAAUCUGAACUGACACAGGAGUCAUCACAGCAUUUCAAUCUGAAGGUUCUCGAGCUCUUCUGUUUUUCUCUCAACCUUCCUCCUCCCUUAAUAAAUCUCUUGCGCAUGUAAUUUCAUUUUAAAAUAUGCUUUUGGGGGACCUAAGGUGAUACAACAACUUAUCAAGAUUUGUGGCAUGCAGGUAAAGCCAUGCUUAGGGGAAAAUCUUCACGUUAUACACUUAUGUUAUAGAAGAAGAAAGGUCUAAAAUCGAUAUAAUCUACUUAAACUAGGAAAAAGCAAAUUAAACCCAAAGUAUACAGAGGAAAGAAAUAAUAAAAAGCAGCAAAAUUUAAUGAAAUAGAAAAUAUUAAAAAAACAGUAGAAGCAAAUAAAAA
Molecule: long non-coding RNA, 659 nt
Organism: Mirounga angustirostris (Northern elephant seal)
Lineage: Eukaryota; Metazoa; Chordata; Mammalia; Carnivora; Phocidae
Exons: 4
Source: RefSeq, a predicted model, not a curated record